This is a non-coding RNA of Pelobates cultripes (western spadefoot toad), 157 nucleotides long. Lineage: Eukaryota; Metazoa; Chordata; Amphibia; Anura; Pelobatidae. The record is from the annotation of a GenBank genome assembly.
GACAGAGUGAGGGAGGUGGUGACUAGUGACAGAGUGAGGGAGGUGGUGACUGUCACUAGUCACCACCUCCCUCACUCUGUCCCUAGUCACCACCUCCCUCACUCUGUCCCUAGUCACCCCUCCCUCUGUCACUAGUAACCCCCUCCCUCACUCUGUC